Molecule: transfer-messenger RNA, 344 nt
Filed under: Peptoniphilus obesi
Lineage: Bacteria; Bacillati; Bacillota; Tissierellia; Tissierellales; Peptoniphilaceae
Also listed under: 1 other name
Rfam family: transfer-messenger RNA
About the family: Bacterial tmRNA, also known as 10Sa RNA or SsrA, is named for its dual tRNA and mRNA-like properties. Its role is to liberate the mRNA from a stalled ribosome. To accomplish this part of the tmRNA is used as a reading frame that ends in a translation stop signal.
Source: RNAcentral
GGGGAUGAAACUGGCUUCGACGGGGAUUUGGAGCCUUCAGCAGCGAGCAGUUGUGAGAAGCAACUUAAAAAGUCUCAAAAAAAUUAAGCGAAAACGAAAAUUACGCUCUAGCAGCCUAAGCGCUGCUCAUCUUAUGUUAGAGGCCCACGGCUAAUAAUAAGGUGUCAAAUUAGUGGGAAACAAAGUUCUGUAAGUCAUCAUAGCAGGAUGGGUAUUUAUGAUGAUAUAGUUUAAAUAUCGUGACAAUUCGAGAUUUAAACCGAAUUUAAAAAAUAUGUCUGCGCUCGGAGAGGCUGAUUGUGAAGAGUUUUCGGACACGGGUUCGACUCCCGUCAUCUCCACCA